GUUUCUCUGGAAGUGCUGGGGAGGGAGCGCCCCCUCCCUGAGGGGGAGCAUCCGAUGCGGCAUUCCUGGGGUGGGGCGCCCAGAUGUGGUGUUCCUCGCAUGGAGUUCCCAGGUGGGAUAUUGCUAGUGUGCCGUUCUUGGCAUGGAUCUGCCAGGUGUGGUGUUCCUGGAGUGGAGUUACCAGAUGUGGUGUUUCUGGCGUGGUGUUCCUGGCAUGGAGUUCCCAGGCAUGGCACUCCCAGCCAUGGCACCCCUGGCACGGUGCUCCCAGCUGGCACGUGUCCUUCAGGAUCCAGGCUGCACACAGGCGAGAGGCCCAGCUCUUCCUAGAUGCCCGUCAGAUGCCCCCUAUCUUCCCUGUCCUGGGGACGUGGCAUCCCACCGCCCCCCUUUCCCCCUGAUGUUCAUACGCCAAUGUCGCUUUGGUUUUCCUGCAGUUUGCUCCUUGGUGGGAGUGGCCUCGUUUGUUUCUCGUUGUGGAGCAGCCCAAAAUGUUCAAACGAUCCAAAAAUUCCAAAAAGCAUCGGCCCUACAUGUACUUUUCUCUCCUGGUCCCUUGGGGCGGGGUCUCUGCGCUCCUGUUGUGGUUGACAAACCCAUCCAGAUGCUGGACUCCUCCCUUGAAGUGCAGAGUCUGUGGAAGGCCACCAGCAGUUCUGGGGCCCGCCCUCGGGGGCUCGGUGCAGCCCUGGAUCACAGACUGGGCACACAAGCCUGUGGGUGUGGCCACAGCACAGAGGCUUUUCAGCCUCUUAUGGGGUCUCUUGGAGCUAUUUCAGAAGCACCUGGACACAUACAGCUGGGCAGAGACGCUCCUGAGUUCAUCUGCCGCGCCCUCGACUCUACCUGGCCGCUGGCUCACAGCCUGGUGCUUAAGCCACCCACCUGAUCCACAGCUGGUGGUCUGGAGCCCUGCCCCUUUCUCUAAGCCCCGCCCCCCGGAAUGGACCGGUGUCAGCGCAGAAGCCAGAGGCCAGACAGGACCGAUGAGAAAGAGGCUGCCAGCACUUCCCCAAUCUCUGCUGCCCACUCCUGCUCGUCAGGUUCUGCAAGAUCCCCGUGGAGCGUGAGUGCCCGGCCUGGUAGAGGCUGGGGGGAGACCUGGAGGGACUGGGGGCGGGGCUCCCU
This 1128-nucleotide long non-coding RNA is filed under the name Sus scrofa (pig). RNAcentral describes it as "lncRNA (ENSSSCG00030042093.1)". Lineage: Eukaryota; Metazoa; Chordata; Mammalia; Artiodactyla; Suidae. The record is from RNAcentral.